UCCUACGGGAGGCAGCAGUAGGGAAUUUUCGUCAAUGGGCGCAAGCCUGAACGAGCGAUGCCGCGUGAGUGAAGAAGGCCUUCGGGUCGUAAAGCUCUGUUGCGGGGGAAAAAAGGCAGCAUCAGGAAAUGGGUGCUGACUGAUGGUGCCCCGCCAGAAAGUCAAGGCUAACUACGUGCCAGCAGCCGCGGUAAUACGUAGGUGGCGAGCGUUAUCCGGAAUGAUUGGGCGUAAAGGGUGCGCAGGCG
RNAcentral lists this ribosomal RNA (248 nucleotides) under uncultured bacterium. RNAcentral describes it as "partial 16S ribosomal RNA". It matches the Rfam family "Bacterial small subunit ribosomal RNA", at positions 337 to 577 of the family's 1533-position model. The record is from RNAcentral.